AUUGAACGCUGGCGGCAUGCUUUACACAUGCAAGUCGAACGGUAACAGGCCGCAAGGUGCUGACGAGUGGCGUACGGGGGGGUAAUGCAUCGGAACGUGCCCAGUCGUGGGGGAUAACUACUCGAAAGAGUAGCUAAUACCGCAUACGAUCUAUGGAUGAAAGCGGGGGUCCGUAAGGCCUCGCGCGAUUGGAUCGGCCGAUGUCAGAUUAGGUAGGUGGUGGGGUAAAGGCUCACCAAGCCAACGAUCUGUAGCUGGUCUGAGAGGACGACCAGCCACACUGGGACUGAGACACGGCCGAGACUCCUACGGGAGGCAGCAGUGGGGAAUUUUGGACAAUGGGCGAAAGCCUGAUCCAGCAAUGCCGCGUGCAGGAAGAAGGCCUUCGGGUUGUAAACUGAUUUUGUACGGAACGAAACGGCUCUGGUUAAUACCCGGGGCUAAUGACGGUACCGUAAGAAUAAGCACCGGCUAACUACGUG
Molecule: ribosomal RNA, 482 nt
Filed under: uncultured bacterium
Lineage: Bacteria
Description: partial 16S ribosomal RNA
Rfam family: Bacterial small subunit ribosomal RNA
Source: RNAcentral